Long non-coding RNA from Nerophis ophidion (straightnose pipefish), 1318 nucleotides. RefSeq lists it as uncharacterized. The record is from RefSeq and is a predicted model, not a curated record. NCBI's taxonomy places the organism in Eukaryota, Metazoa, Chordata, Actinopteri, Syngnathiformes, Syngnathidae. The transcript is spliced from 5 exons.
AUUUAGUGGGCGGAUGUGACUUGAAGAAACAAUUUGGCACUGAAGGAAUAACAACUGCAAUAUUGGAGUGUCGAAAUGACAAAAUGAAAACCUGGAAAACGAUGGAGAAGAACUGGUAAAGAAGUCGACUCAAAUAAAUGAUCAAGAAGGACUGUAAAGCUGUCAUCCCGUCCUGCAACCACCUAUGUGAAGACUGAUGAGCAAUGGCUAAGGGGUAGCAGCAGAAUAACACUGAAGGAGGCGGUGCCCCCUGAAGGAGCCCAAAACACUGCUCUUCAAAUGGAACACAUCCAACCUUCAGGUGUCCAUGCAGGAUGUACCACUCUGGAACAUCAAGCCUCUCCCCACCUGCCAGCACAUGAAAAUAUUUCUACUUCCGACUAUCAAAGACAAUGGAAAACCAUUUUCCAGAACAGCCCUCACAGAUCCUCCUGCUGGCCUAACAACUAAACUACAUGUCGAUGCUGAGUAUGAUUCAUCUCAAUCAUUUGAGGAAGCUCUCCCUGAUAUAGGGGAUUGGAUGUACAAUGACGGACAUACGUUUAAUGAAGGAUUUGAAGAUGGUUUGAGUGAGGAGUGUGCAGAAGAGUCCAAUUUCAAGGACACAACAGACAAACCAAUACAUGACAAUGCAUCAGAAACCAUGGCAGAGUGCCUUCUGAUCAGCAUGGGUUAUGUAAACUGUCAUAAAGUCACAGGUAAGGCCCUAAGCCAUAUGCUCAAAAUGUUCAAGUUGCUUUUUUAGUAAUUGUUUUGGGCCAAUAGAAAGUAAACAAAUAAAAUGCCUGUUUUGUGGGACCAGUGUGUCAGAAGAAAGAUUCUCAUCCUUUUUUUUAAAGUAUGUACAGAUUGAUUUCUUCUUUACCACAGCACAUUCAUGUGCCAAAUGGGCCCUCGUUCGUGAAUUUAAACAUGCAGGUUUUUCUUUGCUGCAAGAUAGUGUAACAUAUGAGACAUGCAGUCAUGUUAUUCCCCUAUUGGAAACCUCUGCAGUACAGUAGUAUUCUUGGAUGACAUGUUGGGUAAAGUUGUUUUCCUUGACUUCACAUCUAUGCCUGGCAUAGUGAUUGCAGUUCAUUUCCCCAACACACUUGAAAAGUUUUAGAUAAUUAAGAACUGAACUGGCCUAAGAAGCCACAAAUCAAUUUUUUGAUCAUUGUUAUAAAUGCUCUGAAAAUACACACUGAUGUGAUGUUGCCGUGGAUGCUGUAAAAGUCUGUAAAUAUGUACACUAUAUGGAGUAUCAUUGUUGAUUAUGUUUUUUCAUUGUGUGUAAUAUUUCAGUGGCCAAUUUAUUAAAUUUACUUGUUUAAUAAAA